UGGGGAAUUUUGGACAAUGGGCGCAAGCCUGAUCCAGCAAUGCCGCGUGCAGGAUGAAGGCCUUCGGGUUGUAAACUGCUUUUGUACGGAGCGAAAAGGUCUGCCCUAAUACGGUGGGCUCAUGACGGUACCGUAAGAAUAAGCACCGGCUAACUACGUGCCAGCAGCCGCGGUAAUACGUAGGGUGCGAGCGUUAAUCGGAAUUACUGGGCGUAAAGCGUGCGCAGGCGGUUAUAUAAGGCAGAUGUGAAAUCCCCGGGCUCAACCGGGGACCUGCAUUUGUGACUGUAUAGCUAGAGUACAGUAGAGGGGGAUGGAAUUCCGCGUGUAGCAGUGAAAAGCGUAGAUAUGCGGAGGAACACCGAUGGCGAAGGCAGUCCCCUGGGCCUGCACUGACGCUCAUGCGCGAAAGCGUGGGGAGCAAACA
RNAcentral lists this ribosomal RNA (427 nucleotides) under uncultured bacterium. RNAcentral's name for it is "bacterial SSU rRNA". It matches the Rfam family "Bacterial small subunit ribosomal RNA", at positions 355 to 774 of the family's 1533-position model. The record is from RNAcentral.